GAUCAUGGCUCAGGACGAACGCUGGCGGCGUGCUUAACACAUGCAAGUCGAACGGAAAGGCCCUGCUUUUGUGGGGUGCUCGAGUGGCGAACGGGUGAGUAACACGUGAGUAACCUGCCCUUGACUUGGGAUAACUUCAGGAAACUGGGGCUAAUACCGGAUAGGAGCUCCUGCUGCAUGGUGGGGGUUGGAAAGUUUUCGGCGGUUGGGGAUGGUACUCGCGGCUUAUCAGCUUGUUGGUGGGGUAGUGGCUUACCAAGG
Molecule: ribosomal RNA, 261 nt
Filed under: uncultured bacterium
Lineage: Bacteria
Description: partial 16S ribosomal RNA
Rfam family: Bacterial small subunit ribosomal RNA
Source: RNAcentral